This 119-nucleotide ribosomal RNA is filed under the name Salvator merianae (Argentine black and white tegu). Lineage: Eukaryota; Metazoa; Chordata; Lepidosauria; Squamata; Teiidae. The record is from RNAcentral.
GGAUACCUCCAUUCUUGGACUGCUGCUCGCUGAUCUUCUCUGAUCUUGGAAGCUGAACCAGGUCAAGCCUGGAAAUACUUGGAUGGGAGGCUUUCGAGAAGUUCCAGACACUGUAGGCU